This 84-nucleotide transfer RNA is filed under the name Clostridia bacterium. Its description in RNAcentral is "tRNA-Leu". It matches the Rfam family "tRNA". Rfam says of the family: Transfer RNA (tRNA) molecules are approximately 80 nucleotides in length. The record is from RNAcentral. Lineage: Bacteria; Bacillati; Bacillota; Clostridia.
GCCGGUGUGAUGGAAUGGCAGACGUGACGGACUCAAAAUCCGUUGAGCUAAUAACUCGUGUGGGUUCAAGUCCCACCGCCGGCA